Molecule: transfer RNA, 75 nt
Filed under: bacterium
Lineage: Bacteria
Description: tRNA-Asn
Rfam family: tRNA
About the family: Transfer RNA (tRNA) molecules are approximately 80 nucleotides in length.
Source: RNAcentral
GGCCACUUAGCUCAGCGGUAGAGCAACCGGCUGUUAACCGGUUGGUCGUAAGUUCGAACCUUACAGUGGCCGCCA